RNAcentral lists this ribosomal RNA (468 nucleotides) under uncultured bacterium. Its description in RNAcentral is "bacterial SSU rRNA". It matches the Rfam family "Bacterial small subunit ribosomal RNA", at positions 791 to 1258 of the family's 1533-position model. The record is from RNAcentral.
UAGUCCACGCCGUAAACGAUGGAUGCUAGACGUUGGCCAUAAGGUCGGUGUCGUAGUUAACGCGUUAAGCAUCCCGCCUGGGGAGUACGGUCGCAAGAUUAAAACUCAAAGGAAUUGACGGGGACCCGCACAAGCGGUGGAGCAUGUGGUUUAAUUCGAGGCAACGCGAAGAACCUUACCAGGACUUGACAUCCUGAUCGCGGAUUUUGUAAUGGAAAUCCUUCAGUUCGGCUGGAUCAGUGACAGGUGCUGCAUGGCUGUCGUCAGCUCGUGUCGUGAGAUGUUGGGUUAAGUCCCGCAACGAGCGCAACCCUCAUCCUGUGUUACCAGCGGUUCGGCCGGGGACUCUCAGGAAACUGCCCGUGACAAGCGGGAGGAAGGCGGGGAUGACGUCAAGUCAGCACGGCCCUUACGUCCUGGGGCCACACACGUGCUACAAUGGGUAGUGACAGCGCGCUGCAACCUCGC